This 939-nucleotide ribosomal RNA is filed under the name Bacillus cereus. RNAcentral describes it as "bacterial SSU rRNA". It matches the Rfam family "Bacterial small subunit ribosomal RNA", at positions 56 to 965 of the family's 1533-position model. The record is from RNAcentral. Lineage: Bacteria; Bacillati; Bacillota; Bacilli; Caryophanales; Bacillaceae.
GGCAAGGUCGAGCGAAUGGAUUAAGAGCUUGCUCUUAUGAAGUUAGCGGCGGACGGGUGAGUAACACGUGGGUAACCUGCCCAUAAGACUGGGAUAACUCCGGGAAACCGGGGCUAAUACCGGAUAACAUUUUGAACCGCAUGGUUCGAAAUUGAAAGGCGGCUUCGGCUGUCACUUAUGGAUGGACCCGCGUCGCAUUAGCUAGUUGGUGAGGUAACGGCUCACCAAGGCAACGAUGCGUAGCCGACCUGAGAGGGUGAUCGGCCACACUGGGACUGAGACACGGCCCAGACUCCUACGGGAGGCAGCAGUAGGGAAUCUUCCGCAAUGGACGAAAGUCUGACGGAGCAACGCCGCGUGAGUGAUGAAGGCUUUCGGGUCGUAAAACUCUGUUGUUAGGGAAGAACAAGUGCUAGUUGAAUAAGCUGGCACCUUGACGGUACCUAACCAGAAAGCCACGGCUAACUACGUGCCAGCAGCCGCGGUAAUACGUAGGUGGCAAGCGUUAUCCGGAAUUAUUGGGCGUAAAGCGCGCGCAGGUGGUUUCUUAAGUCUGAUGUGAAAGCCCACGGCUCAACCGUGGAGGGUCAUUGGAAACUGGGAGACUUGAGUGCAGAAGAGGAAAGUGGAAUUCCAUGUGUAGCGGUGAAAUGCGUAGAGAUAUGGAGGAACACCAGUGGCGAAGGCGACUUUCUGGUCUGUAACUGACAAUGAGGCGCGAAAGCGUGGGGAGCAGACACGAUUAUAUACCCUGGUAGUCCACGCCGCAAACGAUGAGUGCUGCAUGGUAUAAGGAUUUCUCCCCUUAGUGCUGGAAGUUAACUCAUUAACAACUCCCCCCCGCGGGGUAAGGCCGCUGGCUGGAACUCCAAGAAAUGAACUGACGGCCGCCCAAACGCAGCAGCAUAUGAUGUUAUUUUUAUUCCACGCCCACGAAAA